Molecule: ribosomal RNA, 253 nt
Filed under: uncultured bacterium
Lineage: Bacteria
Description: partial 16S ribosomal RNA
Rfam family: Bacterial small subunit ribosomal RNA
Source: RNAcentral
UACGUAGGGUGCAAGCGUUGCCCGGAUUUAUUGGGCGUAAAGGGCGCGUAGGCGGCUCUGCAAGUUCGUUGUGAAAUCGCCGGGCUCAACUGGGCGGGGUCAGCGGAUACGGCAGAGCUUGAGCAAGCUAGGGGGCAAUGGAAUUCCCGGUGUAGUGGUGGAAUGCGUAGAUAUCGGGAGGAACACCAGUGGCGAAGGCGGUUGCCUGGGGCUUUGCUGACGCUGAUGCGCGAAAGCGUGGGGAGCGAUCCGG